GGGCGGUUAGCUCAGCUGGCUAGAGCGUCUCGUUUACACCGAGAAGGUCGAGGGUUCAAAUCCUUCACCGCCCA
Molecule: transfer RNA, 74 nt
Filed under: Candidatus Wildermuthbacteria bacterium GWA1_49_26
Lineage: Bacteria; Candidatus Wildermuthiibacteriota
Also listed under: 7 other names
Description: tRNA-Val
Rfam family: tRNA
About the family: Transfer RNA (tRNA) molecules are approximately 80 nucleotides in length. Their secondary structure includes four short double-helical elements and three loops (D, anti-codon, and T loops). Further hydrogen bonds mediate the characteristic L-shaped molecular structure. tRNAs have two regions of fundamental functional importance: the anti-codon, which is responsible for specific mRNA codon recognition, and the 3' end, to which the tRNAs corresponding amino acid is attached (by aminoacyl-tRNA synthetases). tRNAs cope with the degeneracy of the genetic code in two manners: having more than one tRNA (with a specific anti-codon) for a particular amino acid; and 'wobble' base-pairing, i.e. permitting non-standard base-pairing at the 3rd anti-codon position.
Source: RNAcentral